AAGAAAGAGAGAGAGAGAGAGAGAGAACAGAACCAUACUAUCUGCAUAAGAAUUUGGCAGGAUGGAUGUCCAAUUCAUCCUCUGUUUCAUCGUCACUGUAUGGCACCUCUUCAUCGUUGGGUUGGGAGGAAUCCUCAUCAAAAGUGGUUUCCGAAUCUCUUUCUGAAUUCAUCCUAAUAGCAGCUCCUGAACAGACAUGAAGAGAGGCAGGCUAACUCCAACAGGCCUCCCUGGAAGAAGAUUACCCAUCCA
Molecule: long non-coding RNA, 252 nt
Organism: Sceloporus undulatus (fence lizard)
Lineage: Eukaryota; Metazoa; Chordata; Lepidosauria; Squamata; Phrynosomatidae
Exons: 3
Source: RefSeq, a predicted model, not a curated record